UACAGAGGGGGCAAGCGUUGCUCGGAAUUACUGGGCGUAAGGGGCGCGUAGGCGGCCGCCUAAGUCAGACGUGAAAUCCCUCGGCUCAACCGGGGAACUGCGUCUGAUACUGGGUGGCUUGAAUUCGGGAGAGGGAUGCGGAAUUCCAGGUGUAGCGGUGAAAUGCGUAGAUAUCUGGAGGAACACCGGUGGCGAAGGCGGCAUCCUGGACCGAGAUUGACGCUGAGGCGCGAAAGCCAGGGGAGCAAACGGG
Molecule: ribosomal RNA, 253 nt
Filed under: uncultured bacterium
Lineage: Bacteria
Description: partial 16S ribosomal RNA
Rfam family: Bacterial small subunit ribosomal RNA
Source: RNAcentral